AGAGUUUGAUCCUGGCUCAGGAUGAACGCUGGCGGCGUGCUUAACACAUGCAAGUCGAACGGUCCUUCGGGACAGUGGCGGACGGGUGAGUAACGCGUGGGAAUCUGCCCUUAGGAGGGGGAUAACGGUUGGAAACGACCGCUAAUACCCCAUAUGCCGAGAGGUGAAAUGAAAUUCGCCUGAGGAUGAGCCCGCGUCUGAUUAGCUAGUUGGUGGGGUAAAGGCCUACCAAGGCGACGAUCAGUAGCUGGUCUGAGAGGAUGAUCAGCCACACUGGGACUGAGACACGGCCCAGACUCCUACGGGAGGCAGCAGUGGGGAAUUUUCCGCAAUGGGCGAAAGCCUGACGGAGCAACGCCGCGUGAGGGAUGAAGGCCUCUGGGCUGUAAACCUCUUUUCUCAAGGAAGAAGAUCUGACGGUACUUGAGGAAUAAGCCACGGCUAAUUCCGUGCCAGCAGCCGCGGUAAUACGGGAGUGGCAAGCGUUAUCCGGAAUUAUUGGGCGUAAAGCGUCCGCAGGCGGCCUUGUAAGUCUGUUGUUAAAGCGUGGAGCUUAACUCCAUUUCAGCAAUGGAAACUACAAGGCUCGAGUGUGGUAGGGGCAGAGGGAAUUCCCGGUGUAGCGGUGAAAUGCGUAGAUAUCGGGAAGAACACCAGUGGCGAAGGCGCUCUGCUGGGCCAUAACUGACGCUCAUGGACGAAAGCCAGGGGAGCGAAAGGGAUUAGAUACCCCUGUAGUCCUGGCCGUAAACGGUGAACACUAGGUGUCGGGGGAAUCGACCCCCUCGGUGUCGUAGCCAACGCGUUAAGUGUUCCGUCUGGGGAGUACGCUCGCAAGAGUGAAACUCAAAGGAAUUGACGGGGGCCCGCACAAGCGGUGGAACAUGUGGUUUAAUUCGAUGAUACGCGAGGAACCUUACCUGGGCUUAAAUGUAGGACGACGAAACGGGAAACCGAUUCUCUCUUCGGAGCGGACUACAAGGUGCUGCAUGGUUGUCGUCAGCUCGUGCCGUGAGGUGUCGGGUUAAGUCCCAUAACGAGCGCAACCCCUAUCGUUAGUUGCCAGCGGAUCAUGCCGGGGACUCUAACGAAACUGCCGGUGUAAACCGAGAGGAAGGUGGGGAUGACGUCAAAUCAGCACGGCCCUUAUGUCCAGGGCUACACACGUGUUACAAUGGUUGGUACAGAGGGCAGCUACCUAGUGAUAGGAUGCAAAUCUCGAAAGCCAAUCUCAUUUCGGAUUGGAGUCUGCAACUCGACUCCAUGAAGCUGGAAUCGCUGGUAAUCGCGUAUCAGCAAUGACGCGGUGAAUACGUUCCCGGGCCUUGUACACACCGCCCGUCAAGCCAUGGAAGCUGGGGGUACCUGAAGUCUGUAACCGCAAGGAGCGGCCUAGGGUAAAACUAGUAACUGGGGCUAAGUCGAAACAAGGUA
Molecule: ribosomal RNA, 1434 nt
Filed under: metagenome
Description: bacterial SSU rRNA
Rfam family: Bacterial small subunit ribosomal RNA
Source: RNAcentral